GUGGCUGUGGCGAAGUGGUUAACGCACCGGAUUGUGGCUCCGGCACUCGUGGGUUCAAGUCCCAUCAGCCACCCCA
RNAcentral lists this transfer RNA (76 nucleotides) under Heliobacterium chlorum. Its description in RNAcentral is "tRNA-His". It matches the Rfam family "tRNA". Rfam says of the family: Transfer RNA (tRNA) molecules are approximately 80 nucleotides in length. Their secondary structure includes four short double-helical elements and three loops (D, anti-codon, and T loops). RNAcentral also lists the same sequence under 7 other names. Lineage: Bacteria; Bacillati; Bacillota; Clostridia; Eubacteriales; Heliobacteriaceae. The record is from RNAcentral.